This is a long non-coding RNA of Pristis pectinata (smalltooth sawfish), 7659 nucleotides long. RefSeq lists it as uncharacterized. The record is from RefSeq and is a predicted model, not a curated record. The transcript has 3 exons. Lineage: Eukaryota; Metazoa; Chordata; Chondrichthyes; Rhinopristiformes; Pristidae.
GCUAACGUAGAAAACGGGCCGAGAGCGAGAGAAAAAAAAUCAAUUCAAACGCCCGACAUUCGGACUUUUAACGGCUCCACUGGCCCACCGGACGUGGAAAGCGCUUUCGCUUCUUUCCAUCUCUGGCUCCGGAGCUUUAGACUUUUUUUUAUCUUUCGGGUUUUCAAACGCAGGAGGAGAGAAUCAGGAAAAAAAAGGGAAAUGUGCCCUGUUUAACGUUUACCAAUGGGAUGGACGAUUAGUAACGUGAAGGGGAGAGCUGACGCCAGCCCGUGAUGGAUCUGAGCCAAUCGGCCUUGACGUAUGUUUACACGCACAAGGGCCCGGAUCCUGCCCGGCUCCCCGUUAUGUUACGUCGAUGCAGAUGACUCCUUGGCCGCCGCCUCCGCCGCUCUCUGCCGAGGACAGUUCCCGCAACAAGCGGCGCGGCACCCGUUUCAAAUCCAGCUCUUUCUUUUUAAAUUUUGACCAUAAGGUCAGAAGUGGAAACGUUUACUGUCAAAUGGAACAUUCCUCAGAGCUCCUCAAGUAUUGAAGCAGUCCGUGUCCACCUCUGGUAAGAGCUGAUCAACAUUGAGGCUUGGCCUGAUAAAUGAUGGAGAUCACUUGUAUUGCCUGGCACUUGGGUAAUGACCACUUCCAGCAAGAGGGUUUAACCACCACCCCUUUUCGUUCGACAGUAAUCUCAUGAUUUAUCCUGGGGGUUAUUUGACAAGCCAAUUGACUAAUUGAUAGUAUGGUUUUGAGAACAAAUAGCUGGAUUUUAUGAAAAGUGAAACUCUCCUCAAAAUUCCAAGGCCUUUUCACUAUCCACAGGGCACAAGGCAGUGCAAUAAAAUACACUCCACGAUGAAAACAAAACUCAAGAAGCUUGACUAAGCAGACUUUAUAGGCACCCAAUCCAUCACCAGAACUAUACAGCUGCCUAAAUUGCCAUCCACAAGAUGUCAAGGCUUCUACCACAUAGAAGGAUGUGCAGUAGAUGCACGUGUUUACCACCACUUCCAAAUUCCAUGCCUUUUUGAUUUAGAUUAAAUAAUUGUUUCUUCUUGGUCACAAGUUUAAAAUUCAGGACUUCCCUCCCUAACCUCAAUACAUAGAUUGCAGAAGUUAAAGAAUGUGACUUACCACUGCUUUGAGUAGUUAGGCAACAGAAGUGACUACUGGCUUAUCAAUGUUUAUAUUUCUAAUUCUUCAUUGCUUCCUUUCUAUUCAAUUUCUGUAUAAUGUUAAUUAGAGUUUAAUAAUUAUUCUAAAAAGCACCAAAACAGUUGGCUGUUAUAUUCAAAACAUUUAGCUUAUAAUACUUCAAUUAAAAUUUCCAUUUGUUUAUAAUUUUAUUUAACUAGGGUGGAUUUUAUUGAGGUUACUUUAACUGAUCCUGUACAGUGCCUAGCUUAAUGACCUCCAGCUACUGAUGUUGGAGGACUUGGUGAUUGGUGGUGACGUUGAACAUCAAGGUGAGAUGGCUAGACUGUCUUUUGGAGUUGGUUAAAAUUUAGAUGACACUUGUAUCACACAUACCACUUAUCAGUUUGUUGUAUAGAUCCUGUUAUUAUUUGUUCAUGGGAUAUGGAUGUUACUGACAACCCCAAUAUCUAAAUGCCUUGCCUGAUUGUCCCAAGAAUCACUGGCUGCUCAUUUCGGAGGAUCAAUUACAUUCAAGGGUUUGAAGUUCCCAGACUGAGUAAGGGUCGCAGAUAAGUUGAUAGCUUUAUGGUCACCAUUACAGAUGCAAGUUUCUUUUUAUUUAUUGCAGAAUUAUUUAAAUUCUUCAGCAGCCAUUGUAAGAUUCAAACUUAAUUCUGAAUCAAUAACUUAGGCCUCUGCUUACUAGUCCAGUAACUUAAUCAAAUUACUGUUUCCUAUAAAAACCUGAUAAAUCCUGAUACAUCAUUAGAGAAGUUGUGAAUGCAUCUAGCCUCACAUAUCGUUGCAUUGCCAAACAUUUAUUGGAAAUGCUAUCUGGCACAUGUUAGACUUCCAAAGAAAAAUGCAGUCAGAUCAGCAUUUAUAAGAGAUUAUUUUAAAUAAAACUUUGUCAGACUUGGAUUUUUGGGUGUGAUAGACCUACUUUAACUUUUGUUUUAGCAAAGGUCUUGUAAAGUUAAUGACAAAUGGAAGUGGAAAAUUGUACAAAGGGAGACUCAAUUAGCAUUUUAAUGAUGGAAGAGUACAACUCAAAAGUGCAAAAACAGAGGUUGAAGUAUUUGCUACCAUUUUCAACCAGAAGUGGAUAAUCCUCCAUUCAUCAUGAGAUUCACCCCAUCCAUCAUUCUAGAGCCAGGUUUAGGCACAGGAAAGAUUAAAAAAAAACCGUGGCUUCAGAUUUCCAUUCAAUUAUGCUUCAUCAAUCAUAAAGCAUCAGCAAAGUUAAAUGCUAUCGAGUAGUACUUAAUCACUGAUGAAUUGCUGAUCAAUUUCAAACAGGACUGGUAUAUUCUAAACCUCCUUGCAGCCUUCGUUGAAACGUGGACACGAGAAUUGAAUUCUGAUGUGGGAGUAAUUGCUCAUCACUUUAUGGCAGCAGUGAAGCCUGUGACAUUUCACAAGGCUCCCCAUGAAAGAAGUUGGGCUUGAGUAAGCUCAAAACAUCGCAGUAUCCAAAGCUCAGCUAUCUUCACCAUUAAGGAUAAAAAUGGGAAUUUCAGAGGGGAUUGCAGAAAUUUAAUGUGACAUAUCCAGUAGAGCUACUACUUCACAGUGCAGAGACCCAGGUUCUUUCCUUCCCUUGGGUGCUGUAUGGAGUUUGCACAUUCUCCCUGUGACCAUGCAAGUUUCCUCCAGACAUGACAGUUUCAUUCCACAUCCCAAAGAUUGGUAGGUUAAUUGGCCACUGCAAAUUGUCCUUAAUGUGUAGGUGAGUGGUAGAAUCUGGGGAGUUACUAAGAACGUAGGGAGAAAAAAAAUGGGAUUAAUGUAAAAUGAGUGUAAAUGGGUAAUUAGUGGCUGGCGCAGAUCCAGUGGGCUGAAGGGUAUAUUUGUGCUUUACAACUGUGUAAAUUCAGUUUCAUUUGCAACUCGUCAGCUAAUGAAUCAGUUUGUGUCAGCAUGCAACGUGUCUUGCAAACACUCCAGCUUAGGCUGAUGUAAUGGGUGACAACAUAGAUUUCAACUAGCUGCCAGACAAUUAUGAUCUCCAACAACAGGAUAUCCAGUCAUUUCCUCUUGACUUUCAAUUCUAUUACUAUCACCAAAUCUCCUAUUGUCCACUGUUAACCAGAAAUCUAACAGGACCAGCCACAAAAAUACUACCAAAAAAAAAUCAGAAAGUGUGUUCAUGCAGUAUCUAUGGAGAGAGAAAAAGAUUUAACAGUUCAGGUUAAUGUAGUGCAAAAUGUUCAUGACUCAAUAUCUUAAAUAACCUCUCUCCCACCAUGAGAGGCAUAUAAUGAUUCAGCAUUUGCAGAACAUGAAUUAUUCAGGUUUAGGAACAACCCAAGUUCACAUGGCUUGAAUUAUUAGAUAAUUGUUGAUAACACACAAAAUUGCAUUCAAUGCAGAACUAUUUUCACUUUCCUGGCUAGUUUAAGGCUACACCUCAGCAAUUAAAUAAAGCAUCUUCAAAAAGCUUAAAGUUAAACUUGAUGAGCAAGGCUCCCUGUGCAGAAGUAUAUUGAAUGUGGAAAUCAAAGUAUGGAAGUGCUAUUGCAGAUAUCCAGUUCAUUGUUAAUCAUUUGUCUUUAAAGAUUUUAUUGGCAAGCUGCAAAAUUACAAGUUAAUUUUGAGGAUGUGAAGGAUAGUCAAUUAGUGAGGGUCAUUAAUUAAGGUUAAUAAUGAAGGUCAGAGACUGAAUAGGGGUGUUAGAAAGCAUCCUUUAGAAUACUAAAAGGACAAGGAAAGAUGCACCUCAUGUUUAUAUCUCACUGAAGAUGGAAAAAAAUUACAAAAGAUAGGAUAUUGAAUGUGGAGGCUGGCAGGCUGAAGGGAGAGGACAUGGGGAACCCUAUCCUUGCUCUAGGUGAUAUAGAAAUUCAGGAUUCUAUUACUAAGUGAUCACAAGGAACUCAAGAUGAUUAAACACCAUUUGAAAGGGAAAUUGUGUUCAACAAAUCUCAAGUUUUGUGGAUAAGAUAUGCAAAGUGGAAUUAAAAAAAUCUUGCUGGUACUGGAAAUCUAACGCAAAAACAGAAAACGCUGGAAGAACUUAGCAAUCAGACAGCAUCCAUGGAGAGAGAAACAAUGCUUUAACUGAACCAGCUAUAAAUUUUCUUCCUGCCAAAUAGACUUUCAAAAGAUAAAGGUUCCAAAGUUUAUCUAGGACGUACAGCACUUGGGUUAUUUGCAUUGAUGGAAAUUUAAGGAACAGAAAAUGAAACUGGAUGAAAAUGGAUCCAAGGUUGGCAGACCAUUAUGAGUAGGCCUCUGCAAUGUAUAUGAAUUCCUAUGAUGAGUUUGAAGUAAGAAAAUAUUGUUGUAGUUUUCCUUAGGCAAUCAAUCACCCACCAUGGUUCAAAGAUAACUUGCUUUGGUCCCUCAGUUGUCACUUUGGAACUCUGAUGUGGGAACAGCAGACUCUCAUAGAUGGGGUAGGUGGUGCCUAACCGGGCAGAUGGGUGGGUAGUUUGAGGUGAUGCAUUACUUAACCAUUAACACAGGGCUUCUGUGUGCAUCGACCCAAGGAUCUCAACACUAUCCUAAAUGCUCGAGCGCUUGAAGCAGUUGUGGGCCAGGAAUUCCAGUGAGGAUGUCUGCCUUCAUUAAUAGGUGGCUCCUGAGAUACAAGUAGUCGUCCACAUUUUCCAGGGUCAGACUUUGUCAGAGGGCAGUCUUGUACAAAUGGAUCAGGUUGGUAGAAUGGAUCCAAUGAAUGUAACACCCAUCUUCUCAUUUGCUUCAAUGAGCAAACUGACGAUGGUUUGGAGUUCAGCUUCAGUGCAAAUGCUAAUAUUGUCGCAAGCUGGAUUCCAGAGCGUAGUUGCAGUAGGUUGAGAUGUUAUCCAUUAUUUCUGAUGAUCAACUCCACUCCUAUAGGAUGUGUGUUGGAGACCAUAGUCAAGACCCCAUCCUACUGAAAGCCAAGAAUAAAAGUGAACUUAUCUAGAUCAGAAGCAGCAGCUGGAAGAAACACUUUGAACAUCUCCUCAUCCAUGACACCAUCACACAACAACAUAUUCAGGCCAGCCGUGUCACCAUUCCCAACCAACAAAUUUAAAGACUAUAUACCAACGAAAACAAGGCCUUAGGAGUAGAUGGUAUCCAAGCUGAAGUUCUAAAUCUCUGUGGUGAAGAGUUUGGAUAUACCAGGAGAUUUCUCAAGCUGUAAUUGUGACUACCUUCAAGAAAGAAAACAUGUCUGACUAUGGUAACGACAAAGAGGUCUCCAUGCUGUCUGCCAUCGUUGCCAGGGUAUUUCUGAACCACUUCCUCCCAGUGGCCGAGGAGUUUCUCCCCAUCUGGGGGUGUAGUGGAUGUAAUUUUCACUAUACACAACCUACAGAAAUGUAGGGAGGACACCAAUCAUUAUACACGAUCUUUCUCGACCUCACAAAAGCCAGACUCCAACUGGGAUGAACCAUGGAGCACUCUCCUUAAAUUUGGCAGUGCACAGAAACUCAUCCCCACCUUGUGAUUGUUUCAUCAUGGCCCGAGAACCAUAAUUGAAACCAAUGGGUGACAAUAGUCAAUCUCAGUGAAUACCAGUGUCAAACAAGGCUCUGUUAUUGCCCAAGACUGGCAAGACCACACCUGGAAUAAUAUGUUUUGGCCUGUUACCCAAGAAAGAACCAACUUGUCUUGGGUAUAGUGGCUUCCGAAAUACAUAUACGACUUGUAUGGUAACUGCUCUGCCCAGGACCGCAAGAAACUGCAGAGAAUUGUCGACACAGCCCAGCACAUCACAGAAACCAACCUCCCCUCCAUGGACUCUGUCUAUACAUCUCACUGCCUUGGUGAAGCAGCCAGCAUAAUCAAAGACCCCACCCACCCCAGACAUUCUUCUCCCAUCAGGUAGAAGAUACAGGACCCUGAGGGCACGUACCACCAGGCUCAAGGACAGCUUCUAUCCUGCUGUUAAGACUAUUGAAUGGUUCCCUUGUAUGAUAAGAUGAACUCUUGACCUCACAAUCUAUUUCAUGUUAUUGUCGACCUGCACUGCACUCUCUGUAGCUGUGACACUACCCUGUACUACCUCAAUGCACUGUGCAAUGAAUUGAUCUGUACGAAUGGAAUGAAGUUUUUCACUGUACCUUGGUGCAAAUGACAAUAAUAAACCAAUACCCAAGAUUUGGAGAUCAUCUUGUGAUAAAAUAUUGAGAUUGACCCGUAUUCACUGUAUUUUAGAAGAGUCAGUGAGUUUUGAAAGGGUAGCACUGACAAGCUGCCUGUUCAGACUAGAGAAUCUGGAACACAGCUAACUACUGAGUGAGUCAACCGUUCAGGAGCAAGACAAAGAAUGUAAAUUAUUUUAAAUCUCUUUUGCAGAGGGCCAAAUCUGUUAAGCAUAUUCAAGACAGAUAAAUUGAUUCCUGCUGUCUUCAGCAAUCUAAGUUUGGGGAUUGUGCAGGAAAACCAAUUAUAGGUUCUAGAUCACCUGUCAUUGUGUGGCCCAUUUGUGCAGUUGGAGGAGCUAGAUGCUCUGUCAGCUAAGUUGUCACUGACUGCUGUUUGGCAACAAAAAGACUGCAAUUGCAUCUAGCCUAUCUUCAUCCAACAUUCUUUAUGCUGGGUGAAGAUAGGCUGUUUAAUGUUUUCUUCCCUAAAUGGAGAUAAUAGUCAAUUGCAUACCACCACCACCCAAACUUUCAAGCCCAAUGCCAACUUCAUUGUAUAGUAGUGGUACAUCCAAAAUCAACUUAGAAGCUCACUUCCAAGCAAUAAACAGACCAAGUUGCUCAUACAUAUUGGCAAAACCAUUUUCUCAAUCCAGACAACACCUCUAAAAGAGUUCCUACCAAACAUGUCAUUUGUGAAAAGAAUCUAGUUUACCCUUAACUCUCAUUUCUGUAAUAGAUCAGAAAUUUAACAAAUGGGAGUAACGGAAGUGAACCCAGCCAAUAUUGGAGCAUUAUCUCUGAGGAAACUACUUUUGAGUUUUAAUUAUGAAUACAUCUUGUAUCCUUAAAGGAAAUAUUCAAAAGUAUGAAUAAAUGUUACAAACAUUGCCACUGCCAUCUCCCUCACAUCCAAAAUACAUAUGUACUUUUUAAAAAAAACUGACAUCUCCCAAAGUGAAACCUUCCAAGCAAUUUGUGAAUAUAUUGCUUAUAUUCUAUUCAAGUUAACUGUACCAGCUGCAUCAGAAUCCUUGAAUAAUCGGCUUUGUAUACCAAACAAACUCAUAAGACUAAUAAAAUUUCAUCUUAAAAUUCCUAAAUAUGAAUUAUCAGUUUUAAGAUGCAGACCCUUACCCACUUCUAAUAGGUGAACACCGCAGCAGAUAAAAGAUCUUAACUAAAGUGCCACAACAUAAAAUUAAUUAUCGACAAACCAUUGGAAUAAAAAUUAAAUAAGAUUCAGUAGGUAUGGAACUGGUUUCAAUGCAUGUAAGAAAACCAAUGUAGGUACUUUUUUUUUAGGAGCAAGGUUUGCUGUCUGACGAAAUAAAAGCUCCUGUAUUACUUUCACAAUACUUUUAUCAAUGUCUUCCUUACUGCUCAAUUACCUUUGACCUGCUUUGGUUUAUAGCUUUCACCAAGUUUUAACAGUAGCAAUUAACUG